GGAGAUUGCUUUGACCAUCCGUCUAAAGCCACCACAUACACAAGAAUUAAUUAAAAUGAAGGUUUAUGUUCUGUAUCCACAUACGCAAGACACAGAUGAAAUAGCUGUGUCUCAAAUAUCCAACUGUGCCUGCUACUUAGCAGUGUCAAGGGUUAAAGCUUCACAGAUGGCCAGAGGCAGGCUGGGAUGUAUGUGCGGUGUCCUGACAUCUAUCAAUUUCUGAAAUAAAAGUGGGAGCAGUAUUUCUAUUCUGGAUCUUUUCUUGAUGUUAUAUACCUUACAUUUGGCCCAAGCAAGCCCAGAGUGUCUUUUGUGCAGAAGAGGAAAGGAAGAGGGAGCCAGAUGAAAAAUCCUGAAUGACAACAUCUCCAAGUACCACUGCAGUACCUUCUAAAGCUGGAAGAUAAAGCUGAUGAGAGGGUUACCAUGACUACAGAAGCGGCAUAUUUGAAUGAAAAUUGAUGUUAAGCUUUUAAAUGCUAAUUGCAGCUGGAAACAGGUGACAACUGAAAUAUCCUUUUUUUUUUUUUCCUUUUUUUUUUUAUUUCAACACUUUGUGAUCUAUAAUGAGUAAAAGAAGAGGAUGAAAAAGAUGACAACAUGGAGUUAAAUUAAAACACUAAUAUCUUCUUCAUCAUUAAAUUAUGUCACACCAUUUACUUGUUCAUAGCCAUAGGCAAACACAUUAGAGAUAACUGACAGUCCUGAUGGGUGGAAACUAUGUAUAUAAUGUGAGUAAUACAUUUUGGAGGAAUAUAUUGAGUAAAAUUAAACAGUCUGCUUUAACUACCAUAACAAUAGUUUCCAGCUGCUCAUAAUGAAGAGGCUAUUAAAACUUAAUAUUCAAAAGCUAUUUUCAAAAAUUUU
RNAcentral lists this long non-coding RNA (867 nucleotides) under Anser brachyrhynchus (Pink-footed goose). RNAcentral's name for it is "lncRNA (ENSABRG00000017628.1)". The record is from RNAcentral. Lineage: Eukaryota; Metazoa; Chordata; Aves; Anseriformes; Anatidae.